CCUACGGGUGGCAGCAGUGAGGAAUAUUGGUCAAUGGACGAGAGUCUGAACCAGCCAAGUAGCGUGAAGGAUGACUGCCCUAUGGGUUGUAAACUUCUUUUAUAUGGGAAUAAAAUGUUCCACGUGUGGGAUUUUGUAUGUACCAUAUGAAUAAGGAUCGGCUAACUCCGUGCCAGCAGCCGCGGUAAUACGGAGGAUCCGAGCGUUAUCCGGAUUUAUUGGGUUUAAGGGGAGCGUAGGUGGAUUGUUAAGUCAGUUGUGAAAGUUUGCGGCUCAACCGUAAAAUUGCAGUUGAAACUGGCAGUCUUGAGUACAGUAGAGGUGGGCGGAAUGCGUGGUGUAGCGGUGAAAUGCUUAGAUAUCACGAAGAACUCCGAUUGCGAAGGCAGUUCACUGGACUGCAACUGACACUGAGGCUCGAAAGUGUGGGUAUCAAACAGGAUUAGAUACCCCAGUAGUC
RNAcentral lists this ribosomal RNA (460 nucleotides) under uncultured bacterium. Its description in RNAcentral is "partial 16S ribosomal RNA". It matches the Rfam family "Bacterial small subunit ribosomal RNA", at positions 338 to 795 of the family's 1533-position model. The record is from RNAcentral.